This is a long non-coding RNA of Tupaia belangeri chinensis (Chinese tree shrew), 500 nucleotides long. RefSeq lists it as uncharacterized. The transcript has 3 exons. The record is from RefSeq and is a predicted model, not a curated record. Lineage: Eukaryota; Metazoa; Chordata; Mammalia; Scandentia; Tupaiidae.
GGUGAUGCAUAUAGAAUGUAGAACCUCCAUCAGGAAUUUGGAUUGUGACAACCAGCACCUGCUCCGCUCUCAGUUGGUCCAGCCCAGACCCUUAGAUCUGUGAAGAAUGUGUCUGGUACUUUGAUUGGCAUUGCAUUAAAUAAGCAGAAGAAAGGAUGCUGGAGAUGGAAUUAAUUUGAAGGUGCUGCUGAAGGUGCAAGGGCCAGAGGACAAAAUGAGACAAGUCAGAAACAUCCUCAUGCCAGUGCACUGUGGCCAAGCCCUGAAGGAUGUCUGCUCUUUGCAAGCUGCCGAGCCAGGGUACCAGUUACAUCUGCAGAAUCCUUCAGCCCAGACUGUGAGAGAAACUCAGCGCAAGCCAAGUGUUGACCGGCACAGGCCAAAUGUAGAGCUGGGGGGGUAGGGGAAUAAAAACUCACUUAGUAUACUUAGUAUAUAACACCCAGAACAUACUGAUCUCUUGAGACAGUGGUGCCCAAUAAAAAUAUUGAUUCUUUCAA